Molecule: transfer RNA, 73 nt
Filed under: Amia calva (bowfin)
Lineage: Eukaryota; Metazoa; Chordata; Actinopteri; Amiiformes; Amiidae
Description: tRNA-Asp
Rfam family: tRNA
About the family: Transfer RNA (tRNA) molecules are approximately 80 nucleotides in length.
Source: RNAcentral
AAGGCACUAGUAUAAGCGCCCAAUACACUGCCUUGUCAAGGCAGAAUUGUAGGUUAAACCCCUGCGUGCCUUG